AGUGAACGCUGGCGGUAGGCCUAACACAUGCAAGUCGAACGGCAGCACAGUAAGAGCUUGCUCUUACGGGUGGCGAGUGGCGGACGGGUGAGGAAUACAUCGGAAUCUACUUUUUCGUGGGGGAUAACGUAGGGAAACUUACGCUAAUACCGCAUACGACCUACGGGUGAAAGCAGGGGAUCUUCGGACCUUGCGCGAUUGAAUGAGCCGGUGUCGGAUUAGCUAGUUGGCGGGGUAAAGGCCCACCAAGGCGACGAUCCGUAGCUGGUCUGAGAGGAUGAGCGGCCACACUGGAACUGAGACACGGUCCAGACUCCUACGGGAGGCAGCAGUGGGGAAUAUUGGACAAUGGGCGCAAGCCUGAUCCAGCCAUACCGCGUGGGUGAAGAAGGCCUUCGGGUUGUAAAGCCCUUUUGUUGGGAAAGAAAAGCAGCAGGUUAAUACCCCGCUGUUCUGACGGUACCCAAAGAAUAAGCACCGGCUAACUUCGUG
RNAcentral lists this ribosomal RNA (492 nucleotides) under uncultured bacterium. RNAcentral describes it as "partial 16S ribosomal RNA". It matches the Rfam family "Bacterial small subunit ribosomal RNA", at positions 29 to 507 of the family's 1533-position model. The record is from RNAcentral.